ACGGAAGGCAGCAGUAGGGAAUAUUGCACAAUGGGGGAAACCCUGAUGCAGCAACGCCACGUGUGGGAAGAAGCAUUUCGGUGUGUAAACCACUGUCGAUAGGGAAUAAGGCCUGUUUUCGGGCAGGUUGAAUGUACCAUUAGAGGAAGCACCGGCAAACUUCGUGCCAGCAGCCGCGGUAAUACGAGGGGUGCAAGCGUUGUUCGGAAUCACUGGGCGUAAAGGGAGCGCAGGCGGAAGUGCAAGCGGUCUGUACAAUACCGGGGCCCAACCCCGGACCUGCAGACCGGACUGCAUUUCUUGGAUAGUUCAGGGGCAAGCGGAAUUCCUGGUGUAGCGGUGGAAUGCGUAGAGAUCAGGAAGAACACCGAUGGCGAAGGCAGCUUGCUGGGGACUUAUCGACGCUCAUGCUCGAAAGUGCGGGUAGCAAACAGGAUUAGAUACCCUGGUA
Molecule: ribosomal RNA, 451 nt
Filed under: uncultured Fibrobacter sp.
Lineage: Bacteria; Pseudomonadati; Fibrobacterota; Fibrobacteria; Fibrobacterales; Fibrobacteraceae
Description: partial 16S ribosomal RNA
Rfam family: Bacterial small subunit ribosomal RNA
Source: RNAcentral